CCUACGGGAGGCAGCAGUGAGGAAUAUUGGUCAAUGGACGAGAGUCUGAACCAGCCAAGUAGCGUGAAGGAUGACUGCCCUAUGGGUUGUAAACUUCUUUUAUAAAGGAAUAAAACGAGGCACGUGUGCCUUUUUGCAUGUACUUUAUGAAUAAGGAUCGGCUAACUCCGUGCCAGCAGCCGCGGUAAUACGGAGGAUCCGAGCGUUAUCCGGAUUUAUUGGGUUUAAAGGGAGCGUAGAUGGGUUGUUAAGUCAGUUGUGAAAGUUUGCGGCUCAACCGUAAAAUUGCAAUUGAUACUGGCAGUCGUGAGUACAGUGGAGGUAGGCGGAAUUCGUGGUGUAGCGGUGAAAUGCUUAGAUAUCACGAAGAACCCCGAUUGCGAAGGCAGCUUACUAAACUGUGACUGACAUUGAUGCUCGAAAGUGUGGGUAUCAAACAGGAUUAGAUACCCUUGUAGUC
Molecule: ribosomal RNA, 460 nt
Filed under: uncultured bacterium
Lineage: Bacteria
Description: partial 16S ribosomal RNA
Rfam family: Bacterial small subunit ribosomal RNA
Source: RNAcentral